CACGUAGGCGGUUCGUUAAGUCGGAUGUGAAAGCCCUCGGCUCAACUGAGGAAGUGCACCCGAAACUGGCGAGCUUGAGUACGAAAGAGGAUCGCGGAAUUCCCGGUGUAGAGGUGAAAUUCGUAGAUAUCGGGAGGAACACCGGUGGCGAAGGCGGCGAUCUGGGUCGAUACUGACGCUGAGGUGCGAAAGCGUGGGGAGCAAACA
This 207-nucleotide ribosomal RNA is filed under the name uncultured bacterium. RNAcentral describes it as "partial 16S ribosomal RNA". It matches the Rfam family "Bacterial small subunit ribosomal RNA", at positions 568 to 774 of the family's 1533-position model. The record is from RNAcentral.